RNAcentral lists this long non-coding RNA (331 nucleotides) under Phoenix dactylifera (date palm). RNAcentral's name for it is "long non-coding RNA (PDAC_LNC021576)". Lineage: Eukaryota; Viridiplantae; Streptophyta; Magnoliopsida; Arecales; Arecaceae. The record is from RNAcentral.
UUUUUGUUUUUUUUUGCAUUAAAGAGAAAUGAUAAUGUAUAUAUUGUGCACUUUUACUCCUGUGAUGAUUCCUCCAUGUAGCGAGCAAUUAGUCGACAAUUCUCACACCAGUUGGCAUGAGGUGUCGGGCAUCAAGACUCCCCUACGGACCUAUGCUCGGGUUCCUCAUCACAAGCCCGCUGACCUUUGACAAUAGGUAGCCUUUUCGAUGUACCUGACUAAAUCCACCAUUUUUUUUUUUUUGGAUCAGAAAAAGAUGGUUCAUCAGGAUUCAAGGUUGCUACCAUAUUCUCAACACAAUGUCGAACCUAUACCUUAGAAAAUGCAGGCC